This 465-nucleotide ribosomal RNA is filed under the name Vreelandella stevensii. RNAcentral's name for it is "partial 16S ribosomal RNA". It matches the Rfam family "Bacterial small subunit ribosomal RNA", at positions 338 to 795 of the family's 1533-position model. The record is from RNAcentral. Lineage: Bacteria; Pseudomonadati; Pseudomonadota; Gammaproteobacteria; Oceanospirillales; Halomonadaceae.
CCUACGGGCGGCAGCAGUGGGGAAUAUUGGAGAAUGGGGGGAACCCUGAUCCAGCCAUGCCGCGUGUGUGAAGAAGGCCCGCGGGUUGUAAAGCACUUGCAGUGAGGAAGAACGCCUGGUGGUUAAUACCCAUCAGGAAAGACAUCACUCACAGAAGAAGCACCGGCUAACUCCGUGCCAGCAGCCGCGGUAAUACGGAGGGUGCGAGCGUUAAUCGGAAUUACUGGGCGUAAAGCGCGCGUAGGUGGCUUGAUAAGCCGGUUGUGAAAGCCCCGGGCUCAACCUGGGAACGGCAUCCGGAACUGUCAAGCUAGAGUGCAGGAGAGGAAGGUAGAAUUCCCGGUGUAGCGGUGAAAUGCGUAGAGAUCGGGAGGAAUACCAGUGGCGAAGGCGGCCUUCUGGACUGACACUGACACUGAGGUGCGAAAGCGUGGGUAGCAAACAGGAUUAGAUACCCUGGUAGUC